Molecule: transfer RNA, 72 nt
Filed under: Phrynosoma platyrhinos (Desert horned lizard)
Lineage: Eukaryota; Metazoa; Chordata; Lepidosauria; Squamata; Phrynosomatidae
Description: tRNA-OTHER
Source: RNAcentral
GCCAGUGUGGCAUAGUAGUUUGAGUAUUGGAUUACAACUCUGGAGACCAGGGUUCGAUUCCCAGCUUGGCCA